Molecule: ribosomal RNA, 2097 nt
Filed under: Listeria monocytogenes
Lineage: Bacteria; Bacillati; Bacillota; Bacilli; Caryophanales; Listeriaceae
Description: partial 23S ribosomal RNA
Rfam family: Bacterial large subunit ribosomal RNA
Source: RNAcentral
UUGGUUAAGUUAGAAAGGGCGCACGGUGGAUGCCUUGGCACUAGGAGCCGAAGAAGGACGGGACUAACACCGAUAUGCUUUGGGGAGCUGUACGUAAGCGUUGAUCCAGAGAUUUCCGAAUGGGGGAACCCACUAUCUUUAGUCGGAUAGUAUCCUUACGUGAAUACAUAGCGUGAGGAAGGCAGACCCAGGGAACUGAAACAUCUAAGUACCUGGAGGAAGAGAAAGAAAAAUCGAUUUCCUGAGUAGCGGCGAGCGAAACGGAAAGAGCCCAAACCAAGAAGCUUGCUUCUUGGGGUUGUAGGACACUCUAUACGGAGUUACAAAAGAAAGUUAUAAAUGAAGCGGUCUGGAAAGGCCCGCCAAAGACGGUAACAGCCCGGUAGUUGAAAUGGCUUUCCCUCCAGAGUGGAUCCUGAGUACGGCGGAACACGUGAAAUUCCGUCGGAAUCCGGGAGGACCAUCUCCCAAGGCUAAAUACUCCCUAGUGACCGAUAGUGAACCAGUACCGUGAGGGAAAGGUGAAAAGCACCCCGGAAGGGGAGUGAAACAGUUCCUGAAACCGUGUGCCUACAAGUAGUUAGAGCCCGUUAAUGGGUGAUAGCGUGCCUUUUGUAGAAUGAACCGGCGAGUUACGAUUUGUUGCAAGGUUAAGCGGAAAAAGCGGAGCCGUAGCGAAAGCGAGUCUGAAUAGGGCGCAUAAGUAACAGGUCGUAGACCCGAAACCAGGUGAUCUACCCAUGUCCAGGAUGAAGGUAAGGUAAUACUUACUGGAGGUCCGAACCCACGCACGUUGAAAAGUGCGGGGAUGAGGUGUGGGUAGCGGAGAAAUUCCAAUCGAACUUGGAGAUAGCUGGUUCUCUCCGAAAUAGCUUUAGGGCUAGCCUCGAGGUAAAGAGUCAUGGAGGUAGAGCACUGUUUGGACUAGGGGCCCUUCUCGGGUUACCGAAUUCAGAUAAACUCCGAAUGCCAUGUACUUAUACUCGGGAGUCAGACUGCGAGUGAUAAGAUCCGUAGUCGAAAGGGAAACAGCCCAGACCACCAGUUAAGGUCCCCAAAUAUAUGUUAAGUGGAAAAGGAUGUGGGGUUGCUUAGACAACCAGGAUGUUGGCUUAGAAGCAGCCACCAUUGAAAGAGUGCGUAAUAGCUCACUGGUCGAGUGACCCCGCGCCGAAAAUGUACCGGGGCUAAACAUAUUACCGAAACUGUGGAUGAACCUCUUUAGAGGUUCGUGGUAGGAGAGCGUUCUAAGGGCGGUGAAGUCAGACCGGAAGGACUGGUGGAGCGCUUAGAAGUGAGAAUGCCGGUAUGAGUAGCGAAAGAAGGGUGAGAAUCCCUUCCACCGAAUAUCUAAGGUUUCCUGAGGAAGGCUCGUCCGCUCAGGGUUAGUCGGGACCUAAGCCGAGGCCGAUAGGCGUAGGCGAUGGACAACAGGUAGAGAUUCCUGUACCAGUGCUAAUUGUUUAACCGAUGGGGUGACACAGAAGGAUAGGGAAUCGCACGAAUGGAAAUGUGCGUCCAAGCAGUGAGUGUGAGAAGUAGGCAAAUCCGCUUCUCGCGAAGCAUGAGCUGUGAUGGGGAAGGAAAUUAAGUACGGAAGUUCCUGAUUUCACGCUGUCAAGAAAAGCCUCUAGGAAGAGUAGUACUGCCCGUACCGCAAACCGACACAGGUAGAUGAGGAGAGAAUCCUAAGGUGAGCGAGAGAACUCUCGUUAAGGAACUCGGCAAAAUGACCCCGUAACUUCGGGAGAAGGGGUGCUCUAUUAGGGUGCAAGCCCGAGAGAGCCGCAGUGAAUAGGCCCAGGCGACUGUUUAGCAAAAACACAGGUCUCUGCAAAACCGUAAGGUGACGUAUAGGGGCUGACGCCUGCCCGGUGCUGGAAGGUUAAGAGGAGUGCUUAGCUUCGGCGAAGGUACGAAUUGAAGCCCCAGUAAACGGCGGCCGUAACUAUAACGGUCCUAAGGUAGCGAAAUUCCUUGUCGGGUAAGUUCCGACCCGCACGAAAGGCGCAACGAUCUGGGCACUGUCUCAACGAGAGACUCGGUGAAAUUAUAGUACCUGUGAAGAUGCAGGUUACCCGCGACAGGACGGAAAGA